AAAAAAAUCAAGAAAAUGAAGGAAUAAAUAAAAGGUUCAGCUUAAAAAUCACUUGAAAUAUCAAAGAACCCAUGAAAUUAAUAGGUUUAAAGGCCUCUCAUCCAGUGGGUUAGGAUUACAAAAAGGCCAGAAAACAACAAUUAUGCAGCAACACGUAGCUACGCCAGCAUUUGAUUAAUAAAUUAUACACUAAGUCAACAGAAAAAUAUUUUUUUUUGCUAGACCAACGUAUUAUUUUGACAA
This 243-nucleotide unclassified non-coding RNA is filed under the name Hevea brasiliensis (rubber tree). The record is from RNAcentral. Lineage: Eukaryota; Viridiplantae; Streptophyta; Magnoliopsida; Malpighiales; Euphorbiaceae.